RNAcentral lists this ribosomal RNA (468 nucleotides) under uncultured bacterium. Its description in RNAcentral is "partial 16S ribosomal RNA". It matches the Rfam family "Bacterial small subunit ribosomal RNA", at positions 28 to 507 of the family's 1533-position model. The record is from RNAcentral.
GACGAACGCUGGCGGCGUGCUUAACACAUGCAAGUCGAACGGAAAGGCCCUGCUUUUGUGGGGUGCUCGAGUGGCGAACGGGUGAGUAACACGUGAGUAACCUGCCCUUGACUUUGGGAUAACUUCAGGAAACUGGGGCUAAUACCGGAUAGGAGCUCCUGCUGCAUGGUGGGGGUUGGAAAGUUUCGGCGGUUGGGGAUGGACUCGCGGCUUAUCAGCUUGUUGGUGGGGUAGUGGCUUACCAAGGCUUUGACGGGUAGCCGGCCUGAGAGGGUGACCGGCCACAUUGGGACUGAGGUACGGCCCAGACUCCUACGGGAGGCAGCAGUGGGGAAUAUUGCACAAUGGGCGGAAGCCUGAUGCAGCAACGCCGCGUGCGGGAUGACGGCCUUCGGGUUGUAAACCGCUUUCGCCUGUGACGAAGCAUGAGUGACGGUAAUGGGUAAAGAAGCACCGGCUAACUACGUG